UACGAAGGGGGCUAGCGUUGUUCGGAAUCACUGGGCGUAAAGCGCACGUAGGCGGAUUGUUAAGUCGGGGGUGAAAUCCUGAGGCUCAACCUCAGAACUGCCUCCGAUACUGGCAAUCUCGAGUUCGGAAGAGGUUGGUGGAACAGCUAGUGUAGAGGUGAAAUUCGUAGAUAUUAGCUAGAACACCAGUGGCGAAAGGCGGCC
RNAcentral lists this ribosomal RNA (204 nucleotides) under uncultured bacterium. RNAcentral describes it as "partial 16S ribosomal RNA". It matches the Rfam family "Bacterial small subunit ribosomal RNA", at positions 524 to 726 of the family's 1533-position model. The record is from RNAcentral.